ACGGCUCAUUAUUAACACCCGUAAUCUACCCAGUUUUCGUAUCCAAAACGGAUAUCUGCGUUAAUUUUGGAGCUAAUACGUGCACCAAAGCACCGCCAGCAAUGGUAGUGCGCACAUAUUAGAUCAAGACCUAUUGGGGCAACCCACUUGAUGACUCUGAAUAUUUUUGCGGAUCGCAUGGUCUUGUACCGGCGACGUACUGGUCGAGCGGGUGCCCUAUCAACUAUUGAUGGAAGUCUAUGUGUCUUCCAUGGUUGUAACGGGUAACGGAGAAUAAGGGUUCGACUCCGGAGAGCUAGCCUUAGAAACGGCUAUCACAUCCAAGGAAGGCAGCAGGCGCGUAAAUUACCCACUCUCAAUUCGAGGAGGUAGUGACUAUCAAUAACGAGACAGAUCUCUUUGAGGUCUGUCAUUGAAAUGAGCACAACUUAAAGACUUUAACGAAGUCUAUGGGAGGGCAAGUCUGGUGCCAGCAGCCGCGGUAAUUCCAGCUCCCAACGUGUAUAUCGUCAUUGCUGCGGUUAAAAAGCUCGUAGUUGGAUCUAAGUUCAUGACUGUAGUUCUCCAUGUGAGAUACUGCUAGUCUGGACUGUUUCGCCGGUUUUCCGUAGCUUCGGCUGCGGUGACUGGUGUUGUAACUUUGAUUAAAUCAAUGUGAUUAAAACAGGCGUUUGCUUGAAUGCUUUAUCAUGGAAUAAUAGAAUAUGACUUCGGUCCAUUCUGUUGGUCUUGGGAUUGAAGUAAUGAUUAAAAGGAACAACUCGGGGGCAUCCGUAUCGCUGCGU
This 785-nucleotide ribosomal RNA is filed under the name Pristionchus sp. JU2804. RNAcentral describes it as "SSU rRNA". It matches the Rfam family "Eukaryotic small subunit ribosomal RNA", at positions 93 to 905 of the family's 1831-position model. Lineage: Eukaryota; Metazoa; Nematoda; Chromadorea; Rhabditida; Neodiplogasteridae. The record is from RNAcentral.